RNAcentral lists this ribosomal RNA (277 nucleotides) under uncultured bacterium. Its description in RNAcentral is "partial 16S ribosomal RNA". It matches the Rfam family "Bacterial small subunit ribosomal RNA", at positions 28 to 298 of the family's 1533-position model. The record is from RNAcentral.
GGCGAACGCUGGCGGCGUGCCUAACACAUGCAAGUGGAGCGACGAACCAGGCUUCGGCCUGGGGCAAAGCCGCGAACGGGUGAGUAACACGUGGGUGACCUACCCCGAAGACCGGGAUAACCCGAGGAAACUCGGGCUAAUACCGGAUGUGCUCCGCCUGCUGCGGCAGGCGGUGGAAAGGUAGCUUCGGCUUCCGCUUCGGGAUGGGCCCGCGGCCCAUUAGCUAGUUGGUGAGGUAACGGCUCACCAAGGCGACGAUGGGUAGCUGGUCUGAGAG